GAAAUGUGUAAUGCUUCUAGGUCUAGGAAGGUAUCUAACUACUUUAGGUAAUUUCAAUCCACUUACCCUGAGGUAGUUGGAUUUAUUAACCUCCCUCCUAUUAAGUUUUCUGUGGUAUUGAGGAAAUUGACCAGCCAAAGGAAAGUUUCCUUUGACUUCUUUAUUUUAGUGAACCAAUUACAAUGAGUUUGUUACUUCCCAGGAAGUUCAAGUUCCUAAGCCUACUUUCAAGUUACCUAAAUAUCUAUUCUUAUGUAUGAUUUGAUUACACAAGGCACCAUAUGAUUUGCAUGUGUGGGUAACUUGAUAUUGUAGGCACUGCCUCUUUCUCCCCAAAAUCCUAUGUGUUGCAAUAGAUAGAAAGACAGCAAAAGUUUCACUUGAAAAAAGUAGGGUACACGUCAGUGGUGGAGCCAAAAUUUUUGGUUAGUGGGGGCAAAAAUUUUAUCUUCAUGUAUUUAUAAAAUUUUUAAAUAAAAAUAUUUUUUAUUUACAAAAUAUUGU
Molecule: unclassified non-coding RNA, 504 nt
Filed under: Hevea brasiliensis (rubber tree)
Lineage: Eukaryota; Viridiplantae; Streptophyta; Magnoliopsida; Malpighiales; Euphorbiaceae
Source: RNAcentral